CCCUUAGAUGUUCUGGGCCGCACGCGCGCUACACUGAUGCAUUCAACAAGUUUUACCUUGGCCGAGAGGCCUGGGAAAUCUUUCAAAUAUGUAUCGUGAUAGGGAUAGAUUAUUGCAAUUAUUAAUCUUGAACGAGGAAUUCCUAGUAAAUGCAGAUCAUCAUUCUGCGUUGAUUACGUCCCUGCCCUUUGUACACACCGCCCGUCGCUCCUACCGAUUGAGUGGUCCGGUGAGGCUUUGGGAUCUGAGCAAAGAGAGCGUUUCGCUCGUUUUGCCCGGAAAACUCAGUCGAACCUUAUCAUUUAGAGGAAGGAGAAGUCGUAACA
Molecule: ribosomal RNA, 326 nt
Filed under: uncultured eukaryote
Lineage: Eukaryota
Description: partial 18S ribosomal RNA
Rfam family: Eukaryotic small subunit ribosomal RNA
Source: RNAcentral